AGUGAACGCUGGCGGCAGGCCUAACACAUGCAAGUCGAACGGCAGCACAGUAAGAGCUUGCUCUUACGGGCGGCGCGUGGCGGACGGGUGAGGAAUACACCGGAAUCUACUUCUUCGUGGGGGAUAACGCAGGGAAACUUACGCUAAUACAGGAUAUGACCUACGGGUGAAAGCAGGGGAUCUUCGGACCUUGCGCGAUUGAAUGAGCCGACGUCGGAUUAGCUAGUUGGCGGGGUAAAGGCGCACCAAGGCUACGAUCCGAAGCGCGUCUGGGGGGGAGAUCAGCCACACUGGAAGUGAGGCACGUUACAGACUCCUACAGGGGGCAGCAGUGGGGAAUAUUGCAGAAGGGAGGCAAGCCUGAUCCAGCCAAACCGCGUGAGUGAUGAAGGCGUUCGGGUUGUAGAGCGCUUAAGUUGGGAAAGAAGAACAGCAGGUUAAUACCCCGUUGUUAUGACGGUACCCAGAGAAUAAGCACCGGCUAACUUCGUG
This 492-nucleotide ribosomal RNA is filed under the name uncultured bacterium. Its description in RNAcentral is "partial 16S ribosomal RNA". It matches the Rfam family "Bacterial small subunit ribosomal RNA", at positions 29 to 507 of the family's 1533-position model. The record is from RNAcentral.